AGCGAACGCUGGCGGCAGGCUUAACACAUGCAAGUCGAGCGGGCACUUUCGGGUGUCAGCGGCGGACGGGUGAGUAACGCGUGGGAACGUGCCCUCUGGUUCGGAAUAACUCAGGGAAACUUGAGCUAAUACCGGAUACGCCCUUUUGGGGAAAGGCUUGCUGCCGGAGGAUCGGCCCGCGUCUGAUUAGCUAGUUGGUGAGGUAACGGCUCACCAGGGCGACGAUCAGUAGCUGGUCUGAGAGGAUGAUCAGCCACACUGGGACUGAGACACGGCCCAGACUCCUACGGGAGGCAGCAGUGGGGAAUAUUGGACAAUGGGCGCGAGCCUGAUCCAGCCAUGCCGCGUGAGUGAUGAAGGCCUUAGGGUUGUAAAGCUCUUUUAUCCGGGACGAUAAUGACGGUACCGGAGGAAUAAGCCCCGGCUAACUUCGUG
RNAcentral lists this ribosomal RNA (435 nucleotides) under uncultured bacterium. RNAcentral describes it as "partial 16S ribosomal RNA". It matches the Rfam family "Bacterial small subunit ribosomal RNA", at positions 29 to 507 of the family's 1533-position model. The record is from RNAcentral.